UGUUUUUUGUCAGAUAAGAUUCAAACAUGCGCAACUACAACAACUUCAACCGCGUGUGGAAGGCGCCGCGUCGUCCGUUCGAGAAGGAGCGCCUCGACCGCGAGAUGAAGCUGUGCGGCCAGUACGGUCUGCGCUGCAAGCGUGAGAUCUGGCGUGUGAACAUGACGCUGUCCAAGAUGCGCCGCACGGCCCGUCUGCUGCUGACGCUGCCGGAGAACCACCCCCGCCGUCUGCUGGAGGGUUCCGCCAUCAUGCGCCGCUGCCACGAGUAUGGCUUCCUCGACGAGGAGAAGGACAAGCUGGAUUACGUGCUGUCGCUGACGGUGCCGGACAUUCUCGAGCGCCGCCUGCAGACCAUCGUCUUCAAGGCCGGUCUCGCCAAGUCCGUGCACCACGCCCGCGUCCUGAUUCAGCAGCGCCACAUCGCCGUCGCCAAGCAGAUUGUGACGAUCCCGUCCUUCAUCGUGCGCGUGAGCAGUGAGCGCCACAUCGCCUUCGCUGAUGCUUCGCCGUUCGGCAACGGCCGACCUGGCCGCGUCAAGCGCGUGCGCGCGAAGGCCGCCAAGCGCCACGCCGGCGGCGGCGAUGACGACGAGUAAGAUGGAAGAAGCACGCCCUUGUGCCGCACCGGCGUGGGGACGCAUUGUGCAGGCUGAAGGCGUUUGCCUCUCAUACGAUCGGCGCUUCGAGUACCUUUGGGCUCCCUGCGUCGCACGUGUAGAGAGCGGCCCGACCCCCCCCCCCUCGCGUCCGUCUUGUACGCGGCACUGACUGGGCACGUAUACGACGUUGUGAAAAAGCCCCGAUCGUUUCGUUUUGCUUUUUUUUGCUUUCCUCUAUGAUCAUCAUUUCACCGCCCAAAUCCCUACACAAGGCAUGCGCAUCCACGCAUCCACCAUGGCAGGAGUUGUCGCUGGGGGUUUUCUCAGCGAGGACGUCAUCUCCGUAUUUGCCCGUACCGUCUCGCGUUUCUUUCGUCCGAGUUCUCGGACGGCGCGAAUCUGCCUCCACGUGCCACUGACUAUCCGCCGCUAAGUUUGCUUGUGUGGUUGACUUUCAACAGCGAGCGGCGACAGUUGGUGUGGCAGGCGCGGCGGAAAAGCAGACGCGGAUAUCAACACUAUGGAUGCUGAGUCGUUGCCAGCUCCAUGGGCGGCAGCAUUACGUUUCGCAGCUUGCCAUCCAGAAGAGCGUCCCUCCCCCAACCAGGUAUCGCGCUGUAAAUGUGUGUAUGCUCCGCGCGACCUCAGAGGACUGUAGCGCGAGCGGCCCUAUCACCCACCGCACAUGGGCUGCUCUGCGCCUCUGCGUUCUAUGUGCGUUUCCACUCUCCGCUUCACUGCAUCACCGACACGCCCCUCACCCCCUUCCCUCACACACACAAACACACACCACGGCAACGUCCUACACAAUGCGCGCCUCCCGCGCGACUCCACAG
This 1438-nucleotide unclassified non-coding RNA is filed under the name Leishmania donovani. Its description in RNAcentral is "gene:LdHU3.36.1650(CDS-product:40S_ribosomal_prot ein_S9_putative)". Lineage: Eukaryota; Euglenozoa; Kinetoplastea; Trypanosomatida; Trypanosomatidae. The record is from RNAcentral.